Molecule: long non-coding RNA, 1015 nt
Organism: Oreochromis niloticus (Nile tilapia)
Lineage: Eukaryota; Metazoa; Chordata; Actinopteri; Cichliformes; Cichlidae
Exons: 4
Source: RefSeq, a predicted model, not a curated record
AUAUAUAUAUAUUCUGAUCUAUGCUACUGAUCUAUGCUCACACAUGGUGAUGGUGUGGAGAGACGGUGGUGUUUCCUCAGAAGAACCAGCAGAGUCACAAAGGGCACCGGUCCAUCUCACCACCUUGACUUGCUGACUGAUGCUCGUCUGCACUGCACAGAGGAAAUCAACUGACCGAGGUAAAUCUCCAGUUUCUGAGUGAGGGAGAGAGGAGUCAUCAUCCAGGUAAAGUGACGUGGAUCAGUGGAUACACUUGUCUCCCCUUUAAAGGAGACACUCUUAGAGAGAGACGAUCCGAGUCAUCAUAAAAUAUGGACAGGAUAUCACUAUUGGACUGUCUAACCUGCCGGAGCAGCACUGAAUGAUCACCACACAUGAGCAUGUUCCUGCAACAUUCAGCAGCUUUGCUUUUGUGUCGAAUGUCAAACAGCUGGAGAGGAAACUACACCAGUGUACUGGGAUGUUUCACCAACACGUGCCAGACGCUGUUCCUUCAUGGUGACAUCACCAGAGACAGCCCCGCCCACCUCAGGACCUCGCCAUUGAUCAUGAUGAUUAUAAUGAUGACAGCGAGCGGAACUAAAACUGUAAAAAUCCACGACCAGAAUGUUUAGAUGCUUUCUAAUUAUUCAUGAAUACUGAGAGCCUCUUUCUGUGUUUUGUCUGUUUUGGGUUUUUUUUUUUACCUCAUUUGUUACUAACAAAGUUCACCAAACUCACACAGUUUACAUUCUGUAUGUUUCCAUCUUUACCAGCCACACUCUUAACUGCAAUUAAGCAAAUAAUCCUUAGAAAUCGUCGUUUUUUUCUUUUGUAAUUGAUGAUAAUUCAGUGAAUAUACUGCGCUGCUUCCUUUUGUUUCGUCACACAUUGCUUUAAGUUUUUCAGUGUCCAGUUAUUUUUUACUGUUGUUUGAAUUCUCUGUAUGUUUGACCCUGUAGACUGUUUAAUGGACUGCUUGUCUUCCUGUUUGUAACCGCUGCCUGUUUUUGACUAAAGAUUUGGAUUUGUGACU